UACGUAGGGGGCGAGCGUUAUUCGGAAUUACUGGGCGUAAAGCGUGCGCAGGCGGCUUCGCAAGUCAGACGUGAAAUCCCCGGGCUCAACUUGGGAAUGGCGUUUGAAACUACGAGGCUGGAGUGAGGCAGAGGGAGGUGGAAUUCCACGUGUAGCGGUGAAAUGCGUAGAGAUGUGGAGGAACACCGAUGGCGAAGGCAGCCUCCUGGGCCAACACUGACGCUCAUGCACGAAAGCGUGGGGAGCAAACAGG
Molecule: ribosomal RNA, 253 nt
Filed under: uncultured bacterium
Lineage: Bacteria
Description: partial 16S ribosomal RNA
Rfam family: Bacterial small subunit ribosomal RNA
Source: RNAcentral